RNAcentral lists this ribosomal RNA (490 nucleotides) under uncultured bacterium. RNAcentral's name for it is "bacterial SSU rRNA". It matches the Rfam family "Bacterial small subunit ribosomal RNA", at positions 48 to 518 of the family's 1533-position model. The record is from RNAcentral.
UUAACACAUGCAAGUCGAACGCGAAAGGGACUUCGGUCCUGAGUAAAGUGGCGCACGGGUGAGUAACGCGUAGAUAACCUGUCUUCAUGUCUGGAAUAAUACGCCGAAAGGGGUACUAAUACCGGAUAUCUUGCUUUUCAUAAGUUAUGCAAGCAAAGGUGGCCUCUGCAUAUGCUACUGCAUGAAGAGGGGUCUGCGUACCAUUAGCUAGUAGGUGGGGUAAUGGCCUACCUAGGCGACGAUGGUUAGCGGGUCUGAGAGGAUGAUCCGCCACACUGGCACUGGAACACGGGCCAGACUCCUACGGGAGGCAGCAGUGAGGAAUAUUGCGCAAUGGGGGAAACCCUGACGCAGCGACGCCGCGUGAGUGAGGAAAGGCCUUCGGGUCGUAAAGCUCUGUCAAGAGGAAAGAAGUGUACAAUGGCUAAUACCUGUUGUAUUUGACGGUACCUCUAAAGGAAGCACCGGCUAACUCCGUGCCAGCAGCAGC